Cricetulus griseus (Chinese hamster) is the source of this 279-nucleotide non-coding RNA. Lineage: Eukaryota; Metazoa; Chordata; Mammalia; Rodentia; Cricetidae. The record is from Rfam.
GGAAGUAGGGCUAAUCCGGCUGAGACAUUUGUUACCCACUGAUUACCAGGACUGAUCUGCUGGUCUGGCAGUCGUCCCCUUCCUCCCUCACCAUCGUGUAUGCUCUGGUUGCCCAUCCUUGACAGAAGAAACUAGUCUUUGUCUCACGUAGAUGAGAAGCUCCCCUUGCUGGAACCUCCAAAUUAGCCUCCAAAGUCCAUUUGUAGGAGACAGAGGCAAGUCAGACUUGCAAGACUGCAGACACACCAGAUGAGGCACUGCAUGUGACUGAUUUUUGUU